CAGCUCUGCCAAUGCCAACUCGUUGCUGGCACGCAUCCGGAGGCCUUCCAGCUCCUUCCUGUGGGCCUGCAGCACCAGCUCCGUCAGACGCGUGAACGACUGGAAACCAAAGGGCACAGAGCGUCAGGCUUCACCAGACGCUGAAUCUGCUGGCACCCCGAUCUUGGACUUCCCGUCGUCCCAAACUAUGCAGAAACGAAGCACAAAGAUGUAAUCAAAGUGUCUGAAGGUCACAGAGCCAGUACCGCCACAGGAGAUGUGUGUGUUCAUCUAGGCUCUUUCCAUUCUACUCAUUCUUCUUACCUUCUCCUCCUUUCUAGGUAGUUGGGGAACAGAGUAGGUAGAGACUGGUCUCAGGCUGCCUGAGGGCUGGUAAAAACCCAGCCCUGACCCCCUCACAAUGUCACAUUGCGUUUGUCCCCAGCUACUCUCAGUCUAGAAACCUGCAAACCCCAGGAUUCUAGUGUCUAAGCACAUGCCCCAAUGUCUGUUAGGUCACUCUGUUCCAGGCUUGGAUCUAACCCCACCCCCUCCCUCACCCUCUCGCACCUCCUCAUCACAAGCCCUUGCCCCAGGCAGCCAAGCCAGUCCCAACAGAACUCCCUGAGAAAGGUAACACAGCAACCCAGCCUGAGAAAGCACCCUGAAGCAACAGCAGCCCAACCCGUCCAACCAGAUCACAGCCACACAGGCCAAAGCCGCCUCCUCACCCAGAAAGGGUGCAGCCUGGAGGGUGGCUUUCAAAACAAAAGCUCCAGGGACUAGGUGACAGGUCUACUCAGGGAAGACUAAGGAUGGGAGGGAGAAAACCAACUCCUGACGGGAGUGAGGUUGCUCAUGCCUAUAAUCCCAGCACUUUGGAAGGCUGAGGCUGGUGGAUCAGGAGUUCGAGACCAGCCUAGGCAACAUAGUAAACCUCAUCUCUACAAAACAUACAAACAUUAGCUGAAUGUGGUGGCGUGCACCCUGUAGUCCCAGCUACUUGGGAGGCUGAGGCGGGAGGAUUGAUUGGGUUUAGGAGAUUGAGGUUUCAAUAAUCCAUGAUUGUGCCACCACACUCCAGCCUGGGUGACAGAGUGAAACCUAGUCUCCGAAAGGAAGGGAGGGAAAGGGAGCGGAGGGGAAGUGGGGGAGAAAACCAACAACUCCUGAGCAGUGUCUUCAGUUUCCAUUUGUGGUUUAUAUCAUCUCACUCCUGGACACCAUGCAGAAAGGUCCUGAAAGGCCCCCUGAACAUAGAUGUCCAUGUGUGACAUCUCAUGGCAUAGGUCCCAUGAGAUCCUUUCAGAAGUUGCCAGGUUGAUUGGUUUGAACCACUCCCCAUUCAGGAGGGAAACCAGAGCAGGUGACUGUGUGGAAGUUGGUGUUGGUACCACCAGGGGUGAGGAGCCAUUCAGAGGUUCCUUCAUGCCCAGAUACUACUGCAGGCCCUGACUGGUCUCCCUGCUUCAAGUCUGAACCCCUUCUUCCAGCCAACCUCAUUAGGACCCUACUCACAAACCUUUCCUACCAUUGCUAAGGCUUCCAUUCCACCUCCUUAGCCAGGCUCUCAAUGCCCUCUGCCAACUGAUCCCUACGUUCAUUCAUUAAUUUAACAACAUGCAUUGAGAUCUGCCUGGCCCUGUACUAGGGACUAUGAAAACAAUGAGGAAUAAGAUUUGGUUGCACCAUCAAGGCACUUAUAGUCUGGGAGACAGAGAGGUAAACAGGAAUGUUCUCGCACUUCUGAAGAGCCCCUUCUGUUGCAGCUAAACUGCCUAGAGCCCCAUGAACGCCCACUCAAUCCCACCUGUUUUCUCUGCUCAUGUUACUCCAUCUGCUCUCUUCUGCUGCAGGAACUGAUGAGCAGCCCACACUGGGGCCUAGCUUCAGCCUUCCCUGCCGGCUGUAGUUCACAGGGGCCUCUGUCUUCCCCAGCCUCCACCAGCACCUAGUCGUGGCAAUAGCACUCACCCAUCCCUUCCUAUCACCAUUCUCCGGCUGCCUCAUGGUACAUCUUUCAUCAUAAUUUCACUUCUGAUACCCACUGUGAGACUUUCGUUAAGAGUAACUGUAAUGAUCAUAAUCGAUCCUUUUUAUUUGAAGAGUGAUUCACCAAGUACUUUCAGAUAUCUCAUUUUGCCAAUAGCUCUUUUUUUUCCCUUUGUCUUGCCUGUCCAUCUAGAUUAUGGGCUUCUGUGGGUAGGAGAGUAGACUACAAUAUGUCUUUAAAAAGCCUGGCAGAGGGCUUGGUAGGGAAUGCUCAAUUCAUUUGUUUAAGGUAGUCCUUUGGGGACCCCCCUGCACCAACCCCCAUCCAAGCCAGCACAGCUGCAUAGGAAGGAAAUGCCCAUGGCAGAGAUCCAGCAGCAGGGCCACCUGCCCGCCUGCUGGCCAGAAAGAAGAAACGGAUGGGGGAAGGGACAGUCAGUGUCUCAGUCUACCAGGGAGGUCUGUCACUGCUCCCUGGCAGGUUCUUCUCUACAAGACCACAGGCUGUUAAAGCAGAGUACACAGUAAAUCACAAAAGUACUGGCCUAGGUGAUAUUAACAUGAGCCAAGAAGCCGUACUAUCUUGGCAGUCACUGGUGAAUUACCUCAUUUUCUUAAUUCACAAAAAUAAAGCCCCCUGGGAAAGGUGCUUCAAUCAGUGCCCGGCAUGGCCGUGUAAUGUGUUUUAGACAAUGCACAGUUUGAGAACAGUGACUGUG
This is a long non-coding RNA of Cebus imitator (Panamanian white-faced capuchin), 2690 nucleotides long. RefSeq lists it as uncharacterized. The transcript is spliced from 3 exons. The record is from RefSeq and is a predicted model, not a curated record. Lineage: Eukaryota; Metazoa; Chordata; Mammalia; Primates; Cebidae.